Mauremys reevesii (Reeves's turtle) is the source of this 938-nucleotide long non-coding RNA. RefSeq lists it as uncharacterized. The record is from RefSeq and is a predicted model, not a curated record. NCBI's taxonomy places the organism in Eukaryota, Metazoa, Chordata, Testudines, Geoemydidae. The transcript is spliced from 3 exons.
CAGCAGUACAGGGAAGACUAUCACAUGUGAGCUGGAAGGCUGCCAACAUGGAGACACGGAGAGAGCAAGCAUUGAGGAUGGGAGGCACAUGAAUCUGACUGGGCCUGCCCCUCCCACACCAAGGAAGCUAGCCCUGCUCAAGCCUCCCCUGCGGAGAGAAACAGAUCUUUUCACCCACAAACAGAGCUCUGGCAGACUUGUUUGGAAUGGAUCCCAAACAACAUUCAACAUUAUAUAUGUAACCCAGAGCCUGAUCUACACUGGAAAAGUCCCACUGAUGUCAUUAGACUGGUUUUAAACUGAUUUAGUAACAGCCGGGCAGCUUUUCUAAUACAGACAAACUCUAUGUUACUCUAUUGCUGUAUAUUCUUGCAUAAAGUAGGAUUUCUAUUUUACAUGUAUAAAGCCAAUUCUUACCUAAAAACAAACUUUAAAAGGACAAGGCAAUCAUCAUGCUUGCUCGUGCAUCUGCAGAGACAGAGUCAAGCUAGACAGACUUAAAGCAACGCCUCAGCUGGGAAAUGGACAAGGCACCGGACAGUUUGCGGAUAAGCUAAAAAUAGAUUAAUCCCAAUUACAGCCACACUUCUACUUUUUCAAGGUUUCCUGUUUCACUUCCUUAGAUGAAAGCCUGUGUGAAUGAUAGGGUGGGAUUAUCAACCCACCCUGGCAGAAGGAAGGUGGGGCCUCAACAGAGUCAUUUGUGUUGCAUAACUCCAGGAACACACAGUCCUUCAGCUGAACUAAACAGAAUGACCGCACACUUCCCUUGAUCCAGCUGCCUUUAGGUACCAUAAGAAUUCUGAUCAAUAACCAGGCUUUCAAAUCCAUCUUUCCCCAAUACUGAAAAACAAAAAGAUACUUUUCAGUUGGGUUUAUUUUGUAAGUUUCAGAUGAGUGGUUUUUUGUUUGGCUAGCCCUCCAAAAAUCAUUUUCCU